GGGGUUUUAGUCAGAUGGGCUAGUGUAAUCAUGCUGAGUGAACUCAUUGCUCAUUGUGACUAAGUAAGAUCAGUUAGAACAACUCCAACUCACAAAAAUACUCAUGAACUCAAAAUAUUUCGUUCAAUUAACUGCAAAAAAUGCGUCGCAAUCCGCAUUUUACAUAACACGCAUGCGCACUAAUGUUGCGCCAGGGUCACAUGACACACAAAGCCCGAUGAAGAAAUUGCCCGCCAUUUCGUCAAAAUUGGAACCACAAUGCUGUUAACAAGCAAGUACCUGGACACAGUUUAUUAGGAAACAUAGUUAAUUAAUAAACUAUUCUGUCUUACACGGCCAGUUACCAUAACCUUUUAUCCAUAUUUUAUAUUUAGUUCGUUGUGAUUAUUGGACAUAGAUUAGCAUCUUAGGUAGCUCUGGCUAGCCGUUGGUUGGAUUUUUUAUGAUGAUGUGAUAAUUUGGCUAACUUUUAACAUGCCGCGUUUUAUUUUUAGUAUAAGGUUAAGGGUAAGUGGAUACGCGUAUAUUAUAGCAAACUGAUCUCGCUUCAAGCGAAAAUCCGUUUCAAUCACUGGAGUGUUUUAACGUAAACUGCGUUCAAUCAUGCAUGUAUGUGUAGCAGAGAAGUUGUUAAAUCUUCAAUAUUUAUAUAGCUCAUAAAUCAUUUCACCAAUAACGGGAUAACUAUAAGGAAGAGAUUAUUUAACAAUCUUGUUUUGUUGAAGAUCCUAUUCAAUGUACGUAGGUUGUGCUUUUUUUUGUUCGCAUUAUUGGAAGCUCUUGUGAAUUUUGUUUUUUUGUCGCCAUGCUUACUUAAAACGGCAAGUUUUACCCUCUGAGGAGAGUGCCUUCUUGAAGAUUUCAUUCAGCACAAAGUACGGUAGCCUGAAAAGAGAAGACCGUCUACAAAGGCAAGGGCAAUAUCGUCAAAGAAUUCACCAGGCUGAUGUCUAUGGACCUCACUUUGUUCUAUGAGCGUUUGGACAGUCACCUGCUCAGACUUCUUCAGUUGUUGAGGUCAAAGCGCUUUGAGGGGAGUAAAGAAAUGACAUCCUUACUGGAGAGCCUUGACAAGGAUGUAUCAAACCAAAAGAAGAGGGCAACAGCUUUGCAUGGUCUACCGUGGUACAUGAAGGAAAAUCCAUCUGCAUUCAUGAAGAUGUGUGAGCCCACGGAUCCUGAGGAGGAUGUCAUCAGGGGAAUGCUCACUGGAAUACUCUUAGUUGCUGAGGAUGUGAAGGAGCCCCUUCCAGCUUCCUACAAUGAUAUUGCCAUUGUGGUUGAAGAAAUUAUUGUCAUUCGCCACUUGCGAGAUGUACCCAGUGCUUUUGUCAAUCUGAUGGGACUGCUGUACAUUCUGAACAUUGACUAUCCAAAAGACUUGAAGUACACUUUUGAAGUAAUUCAACGACUAUUCAUGGGAAUAGGGCUGGACGCAUGCACUGCCAGAGUCCACUCUCUGAAGAAUAAAUU
Molecule: long non-coding RNA, 1473 nt
Organism: Brienomyrus brachyistius
Lineage: Eukaryota; Metazoa; Chordata; Actinopteri; Osteoglossiformes; Mormyridae
Exons: 5
Source: RefSeq, a predicted model, not a curated record